UGGGGAAUCUUGCACAAUGGGGGAAACCCUGAUGCAGCGACGCCGCGUGAGCGAUGAAGGUUUUCGAAUCGUAAAGCUCUGUCCUAUGGGAAGAUAAUGACGGUACCAUGGGAGGAAGCCCCGGCUAACUACGUGCCAGCAGCCGCGGUAAUACGUAGGGGGCGAGCGUUGUCCGGAAUUACUGGGCGUAAAGGGUUCGCAGGCGGCAUGGCAAGUCCGAUGUAAACGGCGAAGGCUCAACCUUCGUAAGCAUCGGAAACUGUCAAGCUUGAGGUAAGGAGAGGCAAGUGGAAUUCCUAGUGUAGCGGUGGAAUGCGUAGAUAUUAGGAGGAAUACCGGUGGCGAAGGCGACUUGCUGGACUUCAACUGACGCUGAGGAACGAAAGCGUGGGUAGCAAACAGG
RNAcentral lists this ribosomal RNA (403 nucleotides) under Fusobacteriota bacterium. RNAcentral describes it as "Fusobacteria bacterium partial 16S ribosomal RNA". It matches the Rfam family "Bacterial small subunit ribosomal RNA", at positions 355 to 776 of the family's 1533-position model. The record is from RNAcentral. Lineage: Bacteria; Fusobacteriati; Fusobacteriota.